Molecule: unclassified non-coding RNA, 300 nt
Filed under: uncultured fungus
Lineage: Eukaryota; Fungi
Description: sequence contains 5.8S rRNA gene, ITS2
Rfam family: 5.8S ribosomal RNA (bases 1-71)
Source: RNAcentral
GUGAAUCAUCGAAUCUUUGAACGCACAUUGCGCCUGCUGGUAUUCCGGUAGGCAUGUCUGUUUGAGCGUCAGCAAACACCCUCGGCGUACGGAUGUUAAACCCUCCGCACGUCGGUUAUGGGUCCGGGAGCUGUGGGCACCGGCCCGCUCCCGCCUUAAACUUGCUGAAUGACCGCAGGCCGACAGCUGGCAAUGCUUAUGGAGUGGGUAUUCAUAUAUAAUUCCGUACUCUGCCAGCUUCCCAGCGGCGUUAAACCGUCCGUUACCUCUCUUCUGCGGUGACUGAAGUUUGACCUCAAA